Molecule: non-coding RNA, 49 nt
Filed under: Trichobilharzia regenti
Lineage: Eukaryota; Metazoa; Platyhelminthes; Trematoda; Strigeidida; Schistosomatidae
Source: RNAcentral
AUCCAGCUGACGAGUCCCAAAUAGGACAGGUGAAAUGCUCAUUCUGGAU